AAGUGCGGAAUAACCUGGCGAAAGUCGGGCUAAUGCCGCAUGUGGUUUUCCGGCGCCUGUCGGAAGGACUAAAGGCGGGGAUCUUCGGACCUAGCGCUCAGAGAGGAGCCCGCGUCCGAUUAGCUAGUUGGUGAGGUAACGGCUCACCAAGGCGACGAUCGGUAGCCGGCCUGAGAGGGUGACCGGCCACACUGGGACUGAGACACUGCCCAGACUCCUACGGGAGGCUGCAGUCGAGGAUCAUUUGCAAUGCGCGAAAGCGUGACAAUGCGACGCUGCGUGGAGGACGAAGGCCUUCGGGUUGUAAACUCCUGUCAUGCGGGAACAAUACCCCGGCGUUAAUAGCGGCGGGAUUGAUGGUACCGCAAGAGGACGCGACGGCUAACUUCGUGCCAGGAGCCGCGGUAAUACGAAGGUCGCUAGCGUAGUACGGAUUUACUGGGCCGUAAGCGGUGCGCAGGUGGUAGCCCGGUGUCGGGAGGUAAAAUUCCCGGGGGUCAAGCCCCGGAACUUGAUCCGGAAACUGCGGCCUCGAGUACAGGGAUGGGAGAGCGGAAUUCAGGGUGUAGCGCGAGAAUGCGUUGAUAUCCUGAAGUACACCGGUGCCUAUGGCCGGCUCUCUGGAAUGUUACUGACACUGAGGCACGAUAGCUUAGGGAGCAAACAGGAUUAGAUACCCUGGUAGUCUACGCCGUAAACGUUGCGUACUUGGCAUGGGAGCGUAUUAACCCCUUCCGUGCCGGAGCUAACGCGUUAAGUACGCCGCCUGGGGAGUACGGCCGCAAGGUUAAACUCAAAGAAAUUGACGGGGGCCCGCACAAGCGGAGGAGCAUGUGGCUUAAUUCGAUGCUACGCGAAGAACCUUACCAGGGCUUGACAUGGUACUGCACGCCCCGUGAAAGCGGGGUAGCCUUCGAGGGUGUACCACAGGUGCUGCAUGGCUGUCGUCAGUUCGUGCCGUGAGGUGUUUGGUUAAGUCCAGCAACGAACGCUACCCCUAUGUUUAGUUGCCACCGGUGGUGAUGAGCCACCGAGCACUCUAGACAGACUGCCCGUACAAGCGGGAGGAAGGUGGGGAUGACGUCAAGUCAGUAUGGCCCUUACGUCCUGGGCUGCACACGUGCUACAAUGGUCGAUACAGUGGGCUGCAAUACCG
RNAcentral lists this ribosomal RNA (1156 nucleotides) under uncultured organism. RNAcentral describes it as "bacterial SSU rRNA". It matches the Rfam family "Bacterial small subunit ribosomal RNA", at positions 134 to 1257 of the family's 1533-position model. The record is from RNAcentral.